RNAcentral lists this ribosomal RNA (264 nucleotides) under uncultured prokaryote. RNAcentral's name for it is "partial 16S ribosomal RNA". It matches the Rfam family "Bacterial small subunit ribosomal RNA", at positions 917 to 1178 of the family's 1533-position model. The record is from RNAcentral.
GGACCCGCACAAGCAGCGGAGCAUGUGGUUUAAUUCGAAGCAACGCGAAGAACCUUACCAAGGCUUGACAUCCCCUUGACAGAUGCAGAGAUGUGUCCUCCUCUUCGGAGGCAAGGGAGACAGGUGGUGCAUGGUUGUCGUCAGCUCGUGUCGUGAGAUGUUGGGUUAAGUCCCGCAACGAGCGCAACCCUUAUCCUUAGUUGCCAGCAUGUAAAGAUGGGCACUCUAAGGAGACUGCCGGUGAUAAACCGGAGGAAGGUGGGG